AACGAACGCUGGCGGCAGGCCUAACACAUGCAAGUCGAACGCUCCGCAAGGGGAGUGGCGCACGGGUGAGUAACACGUGGGAACCUACCUUCUGGUACGGAACAACCAAGGGAAACUUUGGCUAAGACCGUAUACGACCUCCGGGUGAAAGAUUGAUCGCCGGAAGAGGGGCCCGCGUCCGAUUAGGUAGUUGGUGAGGUAACGGCUCACCAAGCCUUCGAUCGGUAGCUGGUCUGAGAGGAUGACCAGCCACACUGGGACUGAGACACGGCCCAGACUCCUACGGGAGGCAGCAGUGGGGGAAUAUUGGACAAUGGGCGCAAGCCUGAUCCAGCCAUGCCGCGUGAGUGAUGAAGGCC
This 359-nucleotide ribosomal RNA is filed under the name uncultured bacterium. RNAcentral describes it as "bacterial SSU rRNA". It matches the Rfam family "Bacterial small subunit ribosomal RNA", at positions 29 to 416 of the family's 1533-position model. The record is from RNAcentral.